AUGAUACUGAGGUACUAGGGAGCUGUGAAGCAUAUGCUGUGAGACAACACAGCUGAGCAGCCCAGCCAGAGCCCCCUGGGGAAGCCGUCAGAGGUCAGCAGCUCCCGUCUCCUUCCCUCUUGACUCCUAAUAGUCUAGGACAGAACUUUGCCCUCCCUUCUUCCUGUCCCAAAGAUGCACAAUGAUAAUGAUGCUGAUGGUUAUUUAGUAAGAAACUUCCCAACAGGAACAGUCAUCAGGAGGGGGCACAGUUGGAUUCUCUCCAGUGAAGAUGUCAGGAUGGACAGAAAUGUCAGCGUAAUCCAAAGAGGACACAAACACCCCUGCUAUUUUCUUGUCACCAGGAAAAGGCCAGCUCUAGGUCUACUGGGGUUCAUCCCAUCUGAGCCAGGCCUGGCUUUUCUUGGCUGCAAGCUGAGAGCUGGGUCCAGGUCUGCUGAACCAAGGUUCUCCCAUCUUCCUUGAGCCAGUGACAAUCAGAGGCCUAUUUCUUUCAUGACGGAAGGCAGGAGAACAAGCAGCUCCCGGCUCACCCACCCAGCAGCUCAGCACCUGCGAAAUCCGUCUCCCGAUGCACACUUGCUAACCGCGUGGGUGUGAGCACAACGAUGGGAAACAGCGGAAGUCCCCGGAGUGCAGACUCAGGAGUGAACCUGCCUGAAGAGUGGCGUCUAACGCACACACUGUGGUCAGCUCCACCCCACUAUGGGUCCCGGGAAUAGGAGCAAGUAUGUAUUUUGCUUGCAGGGCAGGUGUUUCAUCCACAUUAUUGCAGGAACAGAUGAAUUUAAUUAAAAGAACACCACAGUGGGCACCUCUUCCAGGGAUGUCUCCCUCUAAGAACAUGACACUGAGAUGAUCAAGGUUCUAAAAGGGCGAUCAAAUUACUCUCCGAAAAUGAAACUGCUCAGACAGAAUGACAAUUAAAUUAAUAACAACCAAGACAAUGCCCAGAUUUCAUCUCCGCUCACAGCCCCUCCUGUGUGCUGUAUGAUCAGGUUCUUGGGGUGGCUCCAGAUACAGCAAACAGUCAGGAUUAAUCCACAAGAGUGAGCUGUCAGCAUGAGGUUCCCCUACAGUGGAGCUUGCCAAGGUCCGUGCCUCCCAGGGCACCCGUUCCAGGGCUAACAGAUGAAGCAUGGAAAUGCUGUGUGGAGUGAGCUAAGCAGCCGUUCUCAGGAGAAAACAGACAAAUCCUCCUGCAUCCUGGCAAACCAGCUUUGUGGCCUGUUUUAUGUCAUCUUUGCUGAGCUCCACCGGGUCACCCCUCCUGUUGGCUUUGUGAUACUGACAUUUCAGGCACUGGCACAGAUACAUUGGCCUUCCUGGCUGGGAUUUCACGGACGGAGUGAGCAGUGCUGGCUUGGAGGAGCCGUGGCGGCACAGGGCCUGUGCUCUCAGCUGAUCAACGCCUUGAUAGCCAGGAAAGGCCUGUCCUACCCCAAAGGGCCCUCGCAGCACUGUUUGAAAUUGCUCUUGCCAUCUUUGGAAUGGAUUCCUCAGUACAUUUCAGACUCGUUGUUGUGACUUUGGUUUUAAUCCAGGGACACACCGUGGCCAGUGGAGUGUCUCAACAGCAUCUAUGAUCGCUGUUUCCCAGAGACAGCAUCUCAGAUACCGAUGCUGAAAGAGAAACAGCAGCCUGUCCCCAAGUGGCAGGAAAUAGUCCAUUUUAAUGGCAAUUUCAUAAGUGGCAGAUGAUUUUUAUUGUAAUUUUCUGGUGAGCUGAUUAAGUGGAGGCAGAGUCAGUUCUGAGGCGUCAAUGUCUUUAACAAUUCGGGGAGACGGAGGCCACGCUCAGCAGGAACACUGAGUCCAUGGAAAACAGGCCCUGGGCCCGCUGAUGUGCAUAAUUCCACGUUUGCCCCUCAUGUAACCAGGAUGGUAAAUUACAGGUGUCAGAUAAUCACGCUCUGGAGUGGCUACUUGAGGAUGCGAUCGACCAAUUUAAGCUCCGUCUGACACAUGAUCAAUAGCCCGUGAUGCUGCAUGGAAUUGCAGGCACAGUGUCCAAACCUGCAGAGCAGUGGCUCCCAGCUGGGGCAACUUUGCCCCCCAGAGGACAUUUGGCAAUGUCUGGAUAUGUUUGCAAUUGUCACAACUAGGAAAGGAGGUACCCAUAGGAUACACAGGAAAGUCCUCACACAGUUGUAUCCUGCCCAGACUGUCCGUAGAGCCAGGGUGAGAUGCUCUGACAGAGCCACAGUGAACAUUGCAUUCCAUCAUCUGGGUAUCUCCAGGAAUGUAUGUAGCUGGAUGUCUGGCUUUUCAUCUGGGUUUCACGAGCCUCCUGCAGAACUGAAACCAUGUGCAAAUCAGUUCUCAUACUUGCUCUCCUGCCUCCUUCCUAUUGUAAUUUUUUCUUCCCACCUUUUUUAUUGUUACUAGAGAAAUGAUGAAGAAAAAGAAUAGGCUGGAGAGUCACUCAAAAUUUUGUUUUCCUCAAUUAAAAAGAAGUAAUUUAGAAGUUACUCAAUGAUGUUUUCUUUAAUUAAAAAAAAAAGUAGUUUGGGAAAGCAGAAAAUUAAUGAAGACAGAAAACACAGGUUUCAUGAAAAAGUUCAGCAUCCCAGGAAAGGAGCAAAGAGAAGUCUGCAGAUGAGAGUUGCUCAGUGUCAGGACUCAGAAAACAAUACCCCAAGAUAAUGUUCAAACCUGAGUGCUUUGAACAAAGGAUAUUGAAAGACCUCAGAAGAGGGCCUCAGAACUCACAUGUCUCUCUGACCUUCUCCUGUCUCUCCUUCACUUCCAAAGCAUGAUCUUUGGCCAGGGGAUCUCUCUGGGAUUCCCUUAUCUGCCUGAGGGAUGUACUUCCAAAAGAAAUGUGACUGGCAUGACCUCCUCCCUAGGAAUCUCUUCAAACAGCCGGGAAAGACUGGUCACCUGAGAGGAGAUUGGAAGUCCUCACUGCACUCAGAAAGGCUGUUGUCCAUUCUUCUAGAGACUUUAUCUGAAUAACAAGGCAACUUUUGUUUACCAUUCAGUUCCUCCCCUUUCCUUUCUAACUUGUCACCACCUCCCCCAAAAGCCUCAAGCCUCCACUCCUACAAGCUAUAAAGACUUCAACCAUCUGGCUUCUC
This 3080-nucleotide long non-coding RNA is filed under the name Homo sapiens (human). Its description in RNAcentral is "non-protein coding LINC00494:7". The record is from RNAcentral. Lineage: Eukaryota; Metazoa; Chordata; Mammalia; Primates; Hominidae.